Molecule: long non-coding RNA, 1088 nt
Filed under: Vombatus ursinus (common wombat)
Lineage: Eukaryota; Metazoa; Chordata; Mammalia; Diprotodontia; Vombatidae
Description: lncRNA (ENSVURG00010012388.1)
Source: RNAcentral
GGUCCUACUACUCUCAUUGUAUCAAGGACUUCCCAAAAGUUCUACCUGUAGAAAAAGAUGGGCCAAAAGAGGAAAUUGACCAAAACCCCAACAUGAGCCUGGCACAGGACCUCAGGUCAGACCUAUUGUCUGGGAAUCCCAUUUCUUGGAGGCAGUUCCCAUUUAUUUAAAAGGCCUCUGAAGACCCACUUUUGAACACGUUCCUCCAAGCUAAAAAUUCACCAGUAAAUAAAAAAGACCAGUCUACCUAGUAGCAAGCAUUUGCUAAGAACCUACUCCCUGCUGGGCUGAGGGGACAAAAAUACCAAAGUACCUAGUCCCUGCCUUCAAGGAGCAGCCAGGGGACAUCGUGGCUGGAGUGCUGGACUUGGGGUUGGAAAGAACUGAGUUUGACUUCUACCUCAGACAGUCAUGAGCUCUGUGACCCUGGCAAAGUCACUUAAACCCUUUCUUACUCAGUUUCACUAUUUGUAAAAUGGGGAUAAUAAUAGCACCUACAUCCUAGGAUUAUUGUUGGGCUCAAGUGAGAUAAUCUGUAAAAUCCUUUGCAAAGCUUAUAUGCCAAUGCAAAGCAAUGCACAACUGUGAGCUAUUGGCAGGGUAUUUAUAAAAGUCAGGGAAACUGAUGAUCCCAUAANNNNNNNNNNNNNNNNNNNNNNNNNNNNNNNNNNNNNNNNNNNNNAAAUCUGUAAAAUCCUUUGCAAAGCUUAUAUACCAAUGCAAAGCAAGGCACAACUGUGAGCUAUUGGCAGGGUAUUUAUAAAAGUCAGGGAAACUGAUGAUCCCAUAAUGCAUCCUAUAAUGUCUGAUUUGUGCUGGCUUUAUUUCAUGUGCAUAUUCUUGUUCUUUAGGGUUUUUCAAGUGCAAGGGUCCCACAUUUCCUCUGUGAGAGUAAAAGAGCUGAAAUUGCUGGCUAGGGUAUAGGCACCUGAAUAGAACCAACUCUAUGUGUAGCUAAGCUGGCCCGCUGAGGCCCCACACUCCUUAGCAUCAGAUUCCUUGCCAAAUUUGACUUAUCUCCAUCAAGUCUACAUGCAUGGGUAGAAUCUCAAGGGAAAAUUGUGAAGUCUUCACAGCAAAGGUCCUAU